GACGAACGCUGGCGGCGUGCCUAACACAUGCAAGUCGAGCGAAUGAAGUUCCUUCGGGAACGGAUUUAGCGGCGGACGGGUGAGUAACACGUGGGCAACCUGCCUCAUAGAGGGGAAUAGCCUUCCGAAAGGGAGAUUAAUACCGCAUAAGAUUGUAGUACCGCAUGGUACAGCAAUUAAAGGAGCAAUCCGCUAUGAGAUGGGCCCGCGGCGCAUUAGCUAGUUGGUGAGGUAACGGCUCACCAAGGCGACGAUGCGUAGCCGACCUGAGAGGGUGAUCGGCCACAUUGGGACUGAGACACGGCCCAGACUCCUACGGGAGGCAGCAGUGGGGAAUAUUGCACAAUGGGGGAAACCCUGAUGCAGCAACGCCGCGUGAGUGAUGACGGCCUUCGGGUUGUAAAGCUCUGUCUUCAGGGACGAUAAUGACGGUACCUGAGGAGGAAGCCACGGCUAACUACGUGCCAGCCGCCGCAGUAA
Molecule: ribosomal RNA, 480 nt
Filed under: uncultured bacterium
Lineage: Bacteria
Description: partial 16S ribosomal RNA
Rfam family: Bacterial small subunit ribosomal RNA
Source: RNAcentral